Molecule: long non-coding RNA, 3182 nt
Organism: Brassica oleracea var. oleracea
Lineage: Eukaryota; Viridiplantae; Streptophyta; Magnoliopsida; Brassicales; Brassicaceae
Exons: 2
Source: RefSeq, a predicted model, not a curated record
GGAGCAUCUGAGACUUGGGAAAAUUCAAGAUAUGUGCUCAUCGAUCUCGAUCCUGCAACUAGAAGAUCUCGCGAGACCACGGUGGUUUCUAGAAAAAGGAUGAAGCUUUACCAUGAAAGCUUGACUUGGGAGUGAAUCCUGGAUCUGAGUAAUGGUCGGUUUCUACUCCAUUUUGGGCUCAAGACAACAAUAAUUUUUAAGAAGAGAAGCCCAAAUUAGACCAAAUAGAUCUCGUCGUCACAUCAUCCUCAUCAUUCCUUCCUUUAUCCCGACAACGAGUUCACCACAACCUCAACUAGAGCUCACCGGAAUCAGAGGCUAUCACAGCACUUCGUUACCGUAAAGUUUGGAAUCAAGAUCCACGGUUUGGAGCCAGAAGAGAGAUGAAGACGACCAUGAUUCGAACUUCGUUGAUGUCAUUGGUUUCGGAACGGUGACGUCGUCCUUCUCCGGUAAGAGAAACAGAGGCGGUUAUGGGUUGUUUCUUGGGCUAAUCAGGUAUUGGAGAAAUGGGUCAAUCUUGUUUCAGCGAUCUCCGUCGUUAACCAUCGCCGGAGAACAGAAACUUCGGUGGUUUUUAGAUAAAGGAAGAAGCUUUCUUAUGAAAGACCCACCAAAGUUCAAAACUUCACCGUCUGCAACCACAAAUUAGUUGGUUCGUGCUGCUUAAAUCAUUAUGCCGAGGAUAUUGAAACCACAAGAAGGCUCGGCGGUUCGUGCUCCAUCAGUGACAACGUCUUAAAGCUCCAUCAAGAGUAAGAAGCUUGAGCUUGACAUCACAAAUAUGGCUCUGGUCUUGACUUGGAAGUAUGAGACAUGCUUUACCUGCAUCUCUUAACGUCGACGGCAGCUUCAAGCUCUGUUCAAGCUCCAGAAUGAUGGGGAUGCGAUUCUCUUCGUCGUAGCUCGUAUGUCAGCUUCAACUCGUCGCACCACCGCUUCAACCUGAGAUCAAUUAUAUAAUCAGCUCAGACUCGUGACCCUGACCCUGGAAGUAAUGGCAAUGACUCGAUCAGUGACAACAAGAACAUUGAAUGUGUCAUAUGUGGAGAUAGAGACUAAAAGUGGUGUCUUUGCUCUCAGCAGGCUCUCCAUCUCUUCCCCGGCUCUGUUACAACUCCUAAAAACAGAGCGUCUUCAACUUCUACACCAAGAUUAACACAAGAAGACACUACAUCUUCAUCAAAGUUGCCGACAAAGAAAGAUAAGUUUCAAAACUUAUGAUUAUCACAUUGAAUAAUCAUCAUCGGCCUCUUAUGAUUCCACCAUGUCUUGUAACUUGUUUAGAAAGUUAUUUGUCUAGCUUUUAUACACAUAUCAAACAUUACGAGAUACACACAUGUUCCACGCUUUGACCAUAUUAUUUUUAUGGUCACAUGAGAAGAAGGAGACAAGCUUUCUUCGCACAUUACAUCAUGAAGCCACGUGAUGAUCUUGGCAACGACUUGAUCUCAGCGACCCGUUAUCAUGAUGAGAAGGAGACGCCAACCAUGGUCAUGUCUUUGUGAGCCAGAAUCAACUACGAUUGUCAAGCCAAAAAGAAAAUUAGAGCCGCGACGUAGACGUGCGAUCUAAUUGGAUCAAUCUCUUGUCAUCACUCCAAGAAUGACAGGCUCAGAUUCUCAUAACGAGCUUACCGCAACCGAGACGUGGCGAUGGUUGAUCUCUCAGCUACAGAAAAUGGCUUCCGUUUUUGAGAAAACUGAACCUUCAUGACAAGCUCUCAGACCAGAGUUCUUCACAAGCAUCAAGAGAUCAUUGUAAACCAGCCACCUCGCCACAAAUACGUCUGGAAGCUCGAGACAAAGCCUUCUCAGCAUAUUUAUGAUCUAUGCAAUCAUGUGACCCGCACCAAGAAUGACGAACUCAAAUUCUCUCAACGAGCUUGCCGUAACCGGCACAAGCUCUAGACGAACCCAUUUUAAGCUCGGCUUGGAUAAGAGAUAACUACACCAUCUCAGUGAGGUCUCUUUUCGAUCCAUGGCUGUCCAUCUCGAGACUUCACUUCUCGGCUUGAGCUUUACGUUCAGACUGGUUCUGUGGUUCAUCGUAAUCUCGGCAUCAUGGUGAUGUUAGACGUCAUCACCAACCAAAUCUUGAAGUUCACUUCUCGACCUCAGCAUCACACGAUCACCUCUGUCAUGCUAUCAUCUUGAAGUUCGACGUCAUCACCAACCAAAUCUGGAUAACACUGAGAGAAAAAGCUCUCACGCUCUCUUUUAUGGUCUUGGUGUAAUCUCGGCAAGUACGCGAUCUCGGCAAAAGCGGGGAGCAGUUGGCGUGACCUCCUCAAAACGCCGAUCUUGAGAUCAUGUUCGUCAUCCUCGUAGCUGUUUUCAUGACAGAAAAAUAAGUCUGACGAGAUAAGUCUUCUCAUCUAAUUAGUUAAUUGUUUACGUCAUAUAUCACCGCUUUAUACUUUGUGACAGAACAAAUAUAUUCACUUAGUAUCUUGUUAAUAAGGUUGAUAUUAAACGUGAUCUCCCAUAUUCAUAAUUGACAUGUUUGCUUGUGCCUCACGGCACCCAUUUUCAAUACAAGAUAUAAUUAAUUAAAUUUAGUUUUCUAUGUAUAGUAGAAUGGAGCCAGCACAAAAGGUCGUGACUUAUCUUCUAUGCUGUAUGCGUGGAAUGCGAGUCAAGCACUCCUUCCCUUACACUAACGGAGCAUAGAAGAUGAAGAAUAUGAGACCCUCUUUGCAGUUCACUCCUUCCCUUACGGUUCUCACGACUCUUGACUUCAUCGUCGCCAAUCACGAGCUCAUCACCGGACCUCGCAACUCACACCACGUUUCUCUUGACAGCAACGUUAUCAUAGCCUGACGAGUCGUACACACCAACAACUUGCUCAGCACACACGAUCUCAACACGAGACUUCGGGUCGGCAAUAGUUCGAAAUCGAUUUCAUCUCUUUCUACGAACUUGGAGGGCUUACUGUUGGGGGUGGAUUUACAUCUUCUUCGAGACCCAUUAGACAUUGAACUAGGUUCAUAUUGCUAGGAAGCCCUAGGCUUCAUCUUUCUAUAAAUAAGGAGUUACCUUCUUAUAAGAAAUGAUCUUCUCCUCUUCUUAGACUUAACAUAUUUUCAUAGAGAUUUUGUAUUCUAAGGUUCACUUUACCCUUGUAAUCAUCUUGGUGAUGAACCUUCAAUCAAUGAAAUCUCUUUUAUAUUCUUUUUCCCA